This 838-nucleotide ribosomal RNA is filed under the name Penicillium tardum. RNAcentral describes it as "SSU rRNA". It matches the Rfam family "Eukaryotic small subunit ribosomal RNA", at positions 33 to 885 of the family's 1831-position model. The record is from RNAcentral. Lineage: Eukaryota; Fungi; Ascomycota; Eurotiomycetes; Eurotiales; Aspergillaceae.
UGUCUCCAUGACCAUGCAUGUCUAAGUAUAAGCAACUUGUACUGUGAAACUGCGAAUGGCUCAUUAAAUCAGUUAUCGUUUAUUUGAUAGUACCUUACUACAUGGAUACCUGUGGUAAUUCUAGAGCUAAUACAUGCUAAAAACCCCGACUUCAGGAAGGGGUGUAUUUAUUAGAUAAAAAACCAACGCCCUUCGGGGCUCCUUGGUGAAUCAUAAUAACUUAACGAAUCGCAUGGCCUUGCGCCGGCGAUGGUUCAUUCAAAUUUCUGCCCUAUCAACUUUCGAUGGUAGGAUAGUGGCCUACCAUGGUGGCAACGGGUAACGGGGAAUUAGGGUUCGAUUCCGGAGAGGGAGCCUGAGAAACGGCUACCACAUCCAAGGAAGGCAGCAGGCGCGCAAUUUACCCAAUCCCGAUACGGGGAGGUAGUGACAAUAAAUACUGAUACGGGGCUCUUUUGGGUCUCGUAAUUGGAAUGAGAACAAUUUAAAUCCCUUAACGAGGAACAAUUGGAGGGCAAGUCUGGUGCCAGCAGCCGCGGUAAUUCCAGCUCCAAUAGCGUAUAUUAAAGUUGUUGCAGUUAAAAAGCUCGUAGUUGAACCUUGGGUCUGGCUGGCCGGUCCGCCUCACCGCGAGUACUGGUCCGGCUGGACCUUUCCUUCUGGGGAACCUCAUGGCCUUCACUGGCUGUGGGGGGAACCAGGACUUUUACUGUGAAAAAAUUAGAGUGUUCAAAGCAGGCCUUUGCUCGAAUACAUUAGCAUGGAAUAAUAGAAUAGGACGUGUGGUUCUAUUUUGUUGGUUUCUAGGACCGCCGUAAUGAUUAAUAGGGAUAUUCGA